CCUACGGGGGGCAGCAGUGAGGAAUUUUGGUCAAUGGGCGCAAGCCUGACCCAGCCAAGUCGCGUGAGGGAUGACGGUCCUCUGGAUUGUAAGCCUCUUUUGUCGGGGAGCAAGGCCCGCCACGUGUGGCGGGCAGGCGAGUACCUGAAGAAAACGCAUCGGCUAACUCCGUGCCAGCAGCCGCGGUAAUACGGAGGAUGCGAGCGUUAUCCGGAUUUAUUGGGUUUAAAGGGUGCGUAGGCGGAAGGUUAAGUCAGCUGUCAAAUGUCGGUGCUCAACACCGGCCUGCCGUUGAAACUGGUCUUCUUGAGUGAGCGAGAAGUAUGCGGAAUGCGCGGUGUAGCGGUGAAAUGCAUAGAUAUCACGCAGAACUCCGAUUGCGAAGGCAGCAUACCGGCGCUCAACUGACGCUGAGGCACGAAAGCGUGGGGAUCGAACAGGAUUAGAUACCCUGGUAGUC
RNAcentral lists this ribosomal RNA (460 nucleotides) under uncultured bacterium. RNAcentral's name for it is "partial 16S ribosomal RNA". It matches the Rfam family "Bacterial small subunit ribosomal RNA", at positions 338 to 795 of the family's 1533-position model. The record is from RNAcentral.